This 927-nucleotide long non-coding RNA is filed under the name Anas platyrhynchos platyrhynchos (common mallard). RNAcentral's name for it is "lncRNA (ENSAPLG00000025084.1)". Lineage: Eukaryota; Metazoa; Chordata; Aves; Anseriformes; Anatidae. The record is from RNAcentral.
GAAUUUCAGAGGUGUUUAGCUACUGCAGUUUUUACUGACCAUGACUGAUACCUAGGGCUCGGCACAUCUGACACGUAAAGCUUAGCUGGCUCACCUGAGGUAUUCUGAGUCCUCUCUAAAAAUUCGGUCAUGAUCUUAGUGUCUGAGCUUGCAAUACAAAAUCAAUUGUGAUGGUGAUAUCUACCCAACACUGGUGCCCUGAUAAGAAAUGCAGAUAACAUUAAAGCUUUGCAUUGAAUAUGCGUUAAGUGUAAAGUAUUGAUUUCUUAUUUACAGGUGUUUUUUUUUUUUUGUUUGUUUGUUUGUUUGUUUUGUUUUGUUUUGUUUUGUUUUGUUUUGUUUUUUUUCCAAAGAAAGACAGCCUACUUAAAGACAGAACUUCAUUUGGUAAAGUAUCUUGAUGAUGUCCUGUUACAGUUAUUAAUAACAUUGCAAAUGGCACAGGGGAGAAAAAAGGAUGGGAAGCCAAAUGUCAUUAAUAAUAGCUGCAAUAUUCUUAGUGUUAACAAAUUAUCAGCUGUAUAAAUUUUUAAUUAAUAGGAGUAUGAACAGCAAUUUGACUGUCAACAGGCAUCAGUAUUGAUGUGUGCGAGUGAAGCAUGGCAAGGCAAAGAUCAAAGGGGGAGGAUAACAGAAACCACGCAGCUGUGAAUGACAAGUCAGCGUUUUCUGAACAAACUUCUGAGAGCAUCACGACUUCAAGUGCAGGCCUCUGUAAUGAGAAGAAAGAUGAGUCUAGGUGAAGGAGUCCACAUUUUUUGUGGUAUUCAGAUGGCUCAUCUGGUUUGGAGGAAGAAGCUCACCAGAAACAUGUUGUUUAGACCAUGUUAAAACAGUUUUUGAAGUCUCAAAGACUUGGAAACUUUAAGCUUUGAAAUUCACAGGGGAUACUGCCUUUACAUGGGGACUGGGGGUGUUGAAGAGGAC